This 229-nucleotide ribosomal RNA is filed under the name uncultured Actinomycetales bacterium. Its description in RNAcentral is "partial 16S ribosomal RNA". It matches the Rfam family "Bacterial small subunit ribosomal RNA", at positions 104 to 334 of the family's 1533-position model. The record is from RNAcentral. Lineage: Bacteria; Bacillati; Actinomycetota; Actinomycetes; Actinomycetales.
GGGUGAGUAAUACGUGAGCAAUGUGCCCUUGACUCUGGGAUAAGCGCUGGAAACGGCGUCUAAUACCGGAUACGACCCUCGGAGGCAUCUCCUGAUGGUGGAAAUAACUUCGGUCAAGGAUCAGCUCAUGGCCUAUCAGCUAGUUGGUGAGGUAACGGCUCACCAAGGCGACGACGGGUAGCCGGCCUGAGAGGGUGACCGGCCACACUGGGACUGAGACACGGCCCAG